Apis florea (little honeybee) is the source of this 644-nucleotide long non-coding RNA. RefSeq lists it as uncharacterized. Lineage: Eukaryota; Metazoa; Arthropoda; Insecta; Hymenoptera; Apidae. The record is from RefSeq and is a predicted model, not a curated record.
AUAUAUUCUUAUUAUAAAAUUACUUUUUUAUAUAAAUUUUGUAGAAGAUUAAAAGAAUAAGAAAAAAAAAUAUACAAGAGAUAUAUAUUCGAAUUCCACACUAAUGACCAUAGAAUUUCUUUCAGUUUCUUUGUGUAUGAACACCUGCCAUAUUCCCCUCCAAUGAUCUCCCUCUUUUCAUUGGUAGUAAUAAUCCUGCCGCCCUUAACCCUCCCCUCCAGUUUUGUUCAUCUUUGUCUAUCUAUCUUUUCCUUCUCGUAUUUCAAUCGUCCUUCCCGAGUAACGAUUGCAUACCAUGAACUAACACAGCUGCAACUUCUUGAUGAAGACACUGAGCAGUUACACAAGCAGCAUUUAAAGCACUUUGUACAGCAGAUAACCAUCCACUAUUAUCAAGUCUUGAAAUCCACUGGGAAGUAGAACAUGUUAUGUCAUUACAAGCCUCUAUUAAUUUAAAAAAACUAUCUGCUAAAUCAUGCGACCGUGGAAUUGCUUUAUGUACUUUCCGCCAUUGCGGAUAAGCAGUAUCCAUUUCUGUACCACCACCCUUAGCUCUGGAACUUUGAGCUUGUGCAAUAGAUCUUGUAUCUAUUAUAUAACUAUUAACAAAUUUUGCAUUAAUAAUAUUGUUUAGAUUGCAAAAA